Molecule: long non-coding RNA, 823 nt
Filed under: Gadus morhua (Atlantic cod)
Lineage: Eukaryota; Metazoa; Chordata; Actinopteri; Gadiformes; Gadidae
Description: lncRNA (ENSGMOG00000025723.1)
Source: RNAcentral
CCUCUUCAAAAACACGUAGGCAUCCGUGAGCACAACACCGUAACCGAGACCUACACGCAUCUAAAGAAACCGUUCGAAAGAGAUGAGCUGAGCUGAGCUUUGUGUCGAGGCGUCCGACGACGGCCUGCAUCGGGCGCAGCCCUAUGACCGUCCUUUGCAUUUGAGAGAAGUUUCAUAAGAGACCCCUGUCCUGGCGUUAACCCCCUCACCCCCCCCCCCCCCCCCCCCUCACCCCCUCCAGAGCUGCGAGAUGGGCCUGACCCAGAGCGUGGGCGAGGACGGCCUGCGGUUCGAGGUGUGGGUCCGCCAGGCGCCGCGGGGCCGCGACGUGCUGACGCUGCAGACCCCCACGCCGGCGCUGCGGGAGGCCUGGGCGCAGGACGUGGCCCGGCUGCUCUGGACGCACGCCAUCAACAACACGGAGCUGUGUCUGAAGGAGUCCCUCUGCAUGGGCAUGUCCAGCAAACUGCUGCUGGACGUCACCGGCCCCCACUGCCCCGAGACCGACUCCAUCAGCACCCUGACUGACAGAGUCCACAGUAGUUGUUCUGACUCGUCCUCGGUGGGGAGCCAGAAGGAGGGGGGGUCUCCCGCCUCUGGGAGGGAGCCCAGAAGGAGCUCUGGGUCCUCCUGCUACACACUGGUACACACACACACACACACACACACACACACACACACACACACACACACACACACACACACACACACGUUCACUAGUACGCAUACAAACACCCACACAUGCACUCAGUGGUACACACACAUACAUGCAUGCCCACACAAACACACACAUACCGACUGGUACACACGCACACACACAUAG